UACGUAGGGGGCGAGCGUUGUCCGGAUUUAUUGGGCGUAAAGAGCGUGUAGGCGGCCAGGUAGGUCUGCUGUGAAAACUCGAGGCUCAACCUCGAGACGUCGGCGGAAACCAUCUGGCUAGAGUCCGGAAGAGGAGAGUGGAAUUCCUGGUGUAGCGGUGAAAUGCGCAGAUAUCAGGAGGAACACCCGUAGCGAAGGCGGCACUCUGGGCCGAUACUGACACUGAGGAGCGAAAGCGUGGGGAGCGAACAGG
This 253-nucleotide ribosomal RNA is filed under the name uncultured bacterium. RNAcentral describes it as "partial 16S ribosomal RNA". It matches the Rfam family "Bacterial small subunit ribosomal RNA", at positions 524 to 776 of the family's 1533-position model. The record is from RNAcentral.